Molecule: long non-coding RNA, 534 nt
Organism: Mustela lutreola (European mink)
Lineage: Eukaryota; Metazoa; Chordata; Mammalia; Carnivora; Mustelidae
Exons: 3
Source: RefSeq, a predicted model, not a curated record
AAAAGCACCUUCCCAUCCUGGCAGAGUCUAUAUUAGAGAGCGGCAAUGGCUCUAUAUAAACAGGGCAGCCAAAGGGAGGAGGACCACAAGGCUCAGGGACUGAAAAGCAGGGUAAGCGGCCGCAGCCAUGAUGGAUCGACCCGAGUCGCCAACGCAGUCAGCUGAGACCUUCGCUGAGACUGUUGAGUGGGACACCUACAUAUGGUCACUGGACGUGGCCUGGGCUCCCUCAAAACAUGGUAGCCAGGGUGGAAAGCUCUACAACCAACGUGGGGCUGGAACUCAGGACUCAGAGAUCAAGAGUGGCAUGCUGUAUCAACUGAGCCAGCCAGGCACCCCCUAAUAACUUCCUUGUAUUUCAUUAAUAUAUGUUUGUCCUAUCAGCAAGGAUUUAAAGUGGCUGAAACCUAUUAUACUCCCUAGCUUUGUCCUAGGUACAGGAAACAAAGAACAAGAUACAUUCUUUGCCAUCAUGGAUCAUAUUUCUUGGGGGCACUGAUUUCUAGGGAAAUAAACUCUUGCUCUCACCCACUG